Ribosomal RNA from Scophthalmus maximus (turbot), 120 nucleotides. Lineage: Eukaryota; Metazoa; Chordata; Actinopteri; Pleuronectiformes; Scophthalmidae. The record is from Ensembl.
GCUUACGGCCACACCGCCUGGUUCACGCCCCGAUCUCGUUUGAUCUCGGAAGCUAAUAUAGGUUGGCCCUGGUUAGUACUUGGAUGGGAGACCGCCUGGGAAUACCAGGUGCUGUAAGCU